Molecule: long non-coding RNA, 217 nt
Filed under: Capsicum annuum
Lineage: Eukaryota; Viridiplantae; Streptophyta; Magnoliopsida; Solanales; Solanaceae
Description: long non-coding RNA (CANN_LNC019891)
Source: RNAcentral
UUCAACCUUUAAUUUUAGCUUCCUCUAUGUUUUUAAUGGUUAAAUCCACCAACUCAUUCACCCAAUUAUACAAAAUUAAAUUCACCAAAUUUGAGAAGUAGACCAAUUUAAAGUGAAUGGUAAAUUAGAGAAGACCAAAUUCCAAACAAAAUCAUUUUCAGUGUGGUUGAUCAUCUCCGAUAUGCCUAUGAUUUCUUUUUGCUCUAUUCAACAACCC